This 322-nucleotide ribosomal RNA is filed under the name uncultured Chloroflexota bacterium. RNAcentral's name for it is "bacterial SSU rRNA". It matches the Rfam family "Bacterial small subunit ribosomal RNA", at positions 28 to 351 of the family's 1533-position model. Lineage: Bacteria; Bacillati; Chloroflexota. The record is from RNAcentral.
GAUGAACGCUGGCGGCGUGCUUUAUGCAUGCAAGUCGAACGGAAGAUGUAGCAAUAUAUCUUUAGUGGCGAACGGGUGAGUAACGCGUUGGUGACCUGCCCCAAAGUAAGGGAUAACAGUCCGAAAGGAUUGCUAAUACCGUAUGUGGCCAUCGAGAUUAGAGGCUCGAUGUCUAAAGGAGUAAUUCGCUUUGGGAGGGACCUGCGUCCCAUCAGCUAGUUGGUAGGGUAACGGCCUACCAAGGCUACGACGGGUAGGGGACCUGAGAGGGUGGCCCCCCACAAUGGAACUGAAACACGGUCCAUACACCUACGGGUGGCAG